UUUAAAUGCAUGUAAGAAAUUCAGUACCUCAUGUUGAAAAUGCAGAGAGUACUUUGCAGGAUUUUAGAUGCUGUAUAAAGUUUCUCAGUGUUUGAUGAUAUACUGAGUUUGAUCUACACAGCCUUCUCUAGUCUGGGAUCUUCCUGUUCCAAGGUCCACCUCUUCCACCUUGCUGGGACUAGUAAUCUUCAGCAGAAAGGAAAAGAAAUAAAAUAGUGCUCCAUGAAGGACUACUUGAAAUAA
Molecule: long non-coding RNA, 243 nt
Organism: Harpia harpyja (harpy eagle)
Lineage: Eukaryota; Metazoa; Chordata; Aves; Accipitriformes; Accipitridae
Exons: 2
Source: RefSeq, a predicted model, not a curated record